Molecule: long non-coding RNA, 1934 nt
Organism: Pan troglodytes (chimpanzee)
Lineage: Eukaryota; Metazoa; Chordata; Mammalia; Primates; Hominidae
Source: Ensembl
CCAAAAACAAUCCAUUGAUACACUUGGUGACAUUAAUUGAGAAAAAAACAAUAUGGUCUGGCCAUGGAGGCAUGAUAUCCGUAACAUCCCCCAAAGGAGCUAAAGAAGAAAUCCACAAUUUACCAUGAGCAUUUCUCGUCUAAUGAUUGCCAAGCGAUUCCUCCAGGACAUUCCUCAAGAUCAAUUUCUGUUCAUCCACCUUGUCCUGGGAGGGACAUCAAUGGGUUUCCAUGUCCUUUGGCUUCUGGUUGAGUUCACUCAGUGGAGAACCCUGGCAAGAGGCAGGAAAAGGGGAGGAAGGUGAAAACCAUCCAUUUCUUGGAGAAGUGCCACGGUGGGGUUGCAAGUCCCAGGAUCAAGAUUUCGAUGUGUCUCUUUUUCCCGUAAAGUGGCUGAAAUCUGAAGCUGAAUCUGUAAAAAUGGUGCUACCCUUGGAAAUCCAAGAGCAGCUUCAAGAGUCAACUAUACCAGCAAUCCCUAAAGCUGGAGAAUUUAUGCCCAUGGAAAAGUCUGUAGCGUUUUGCAAACCUUGAGGCUGAGGAAUAGACCUAGUUCCUGCAGCAGAUCAAAAUGGUAGCCCCUUUUCUUUCCAUGAAAAGAAUUUCUACGGAGACAGUAGGUUUCCCAUUGGAUUGUUGUCAGAUGAAUUGACCUUAUCUCUUUUCAACCCUUACUCUCAGAAAGAUGCAGAAAUGCAGCAACUAUUGCAGGGAUUCCGUGAGACCAAGGACCUGUCUCCAUAGCAGGGUGAUGUUGCCUUUAGUAAUAAUUAUAAUGAUAAAAAUAUCAUCUGAUGUUUAUGGAACAAUGCCAAGUACUAGAACAGUGGUUCUCAACCAGGGGCAAUUUUACCCUCCCAGGGGACACUUGGAAAUGUCUGGAGACAUAUUUGAUGGUGAUGAUGGAGAAGAUGGUGGUCCGUGGGUGGGGUGCUAACAUCUGAUGGAUAGAAGCUAAGGAUGUUGCUAAACAUCCUGUAAUGCACAAGACAGUGUCCCUAACCUCCAACAGAGAAUGAUCCCUCACAAAAUGAAAAGAGUGUUACAGUUGAGCAACCUUUCAGUAGACUGAGGCUUUUACACAUAUUUAGCCUUCAAAAUAACCCUAUAAGACACACAGUUAUUGUCCCCACUUUACAGAUGAGCAUAUUUAAGCUUGAAGGAACUAGCUCCAAUUGUUUUGACCUUUGAAUGCUCUCAGAUUUCUUUGUUAAGAUCUAUUUGGUUCUAUGGCCAUAGCAGAACAUUUAGGUUUGUUCAGUGGCUGGGAAUUGGUUCCCUCAAAUGUCAGCAUGGAAGUUAUUCAGCUUAAGCUGACCCAGUCCCUCUCCCAUUCUGCUGACUAACAGCUGGUGGCUGGAGCUGUGGGGAGAAGAUAUUAUAUAAUGUCUACAAAAGUAAUGAAAAGUUGAUUUAACUGCUAAGAUAAGCAACCAGCAAGAUAGAAUUUACACUGAUUUAAAAAUAUGUUUGCUGAGUAUAAUAUCUAGACUGCCCCCCACACCCUCUGUUCUUUAUUCCUGACCUCUGAUAGUGCUGUGGCAUGUGCUGUUGAGAAAUCAGAGGUCUCAAUGCCAUGAGAAUCAGACAAGAGGCAAUCUCCACACUGCAACCAUAUACAGAAUUAGGUCAUUGAAUUCCAAGAGUAUUGGGUCCUUUGGAAGACAAACUGUUAUUCUUUUUUUUUUUUUCCUUUUUGAUAAAUGCCUACCUCCUUUUAAAAAUAUUUCCGACAGGAAAAUCAGACUUUUUCUUUUGAAUAAUUUCUCUGCAUCUGGGUUGGAUGUUGACUACUUCUUCUCUUUCCUCUGCUCUUUUUCUAUCCUUUUCGCUAUUUUUUUCAACCUUUUUCACAGUUGUUUCUAUUUCCUUCUUCUCCCCUCUCCUUAUAAUAGCUCCCACUGUACACCAGGCAAAUCAGUAUGGUUGGGUCAA